AUUGAACGCUGGCGGAAUGCUUUACACAUGCAAGUCGAGCGGCAGCGCGGGGCAACCUGGCGGCGAGCGGCGAACGGGUGAGUAAUACAUCGGAACGUACCCAGUUGUGGGGGAUAGCCCGGCGAAAGCCGGAUUAAUACCGCAUACGACCUGAGGGUGAAAGGGGGGGAUCGCAAGACCUCUCGCAGUUGGAGCGGCCGAUGGCGGAUUAGCUAGUUGGUAGGGUAAAGGCCUACCAAGGCGACGAUCCGUAGCUGGUCUGAGAGGACGACCAGCCACACUGGAACUGAGACACGGUCCAGACUCCUACGGGAGGCAGCAGUGGGGAAUUUUGGACAAUGGGGGCAACCCUGAUCCAGCCAUGCCGCGUGAGUGAAGAAGGCCCUCGGGUUGUAAAGCUCUUUUGUCCGGAAAGAAAAGCAAUCGGUUAAUACCCGGUUGUUCUGACGGUACCGGAAGAAUAAGCACCGGCUAA
Molecule: ribosomal RNA, 475 nt
Filed under: uncultured bacterium
Lineage: Bacteria
Description: bacterial SSU rRNA
Rfam family: Bacterial small subunit ribosomal RNA
Source: RNAcentral